Molecule: ribosomal RNA, 447 nt
Filed under: uncultured bacterium
Lineage: Bacteria
Description: bacterial SSU rRNA
Rfam family: Bacterial small subunit ribosomal RNA
Source: RNAcentral
UCGGGAAUUUUGGGCAAUGGGCGAAAGCCUGACCCAGCAACGCCGCGUGAAGGAUGAAGUAUUUCGGUAUGUAAACUUCGAAAGAAUAGGAAGAAUAAAUGACGGUACUAUUUAUAAGGUCCGGCUAACUACGUGCCAGCAGCCGCGGUAAUGCGUAGGGACCAAGCGUUGUUCGGAUUUACUGGGCGUAAAGGGCGCGUAGGCGGCAAUUCAAGUCAUCUGUGAAAUCUCCGGGCUUAACUCGGAACGGUCAGAUGAUACUGCUUUGCUAGAGUGCAGAAGGGGCAAUCGGAAUUCUUGGUGUAGCGGUGAAAUGCGUAGAUAUCAAGAGGAACACCUGAGGUGAAGACGGGUUGCUGGGCUGACACUGACGCUGAGGCGCGAAAGCCAGGGGAGCAAACGGGAUUAGAUACCCCCGUAGUCCCUGAGCGGGCUGGCAAGGCGCAU